GACGAACGCUGGCGGCGUGCUUAACACAUGCCAGUCGAACGGAAAGGCCCUGCUUGCCGGGUACUCGAGUGGCGAACGGGUGAGUAACACGUGGGUGAACUGCCCUUCACUUCGGGAUAAGCCUGGGAAACUGGGUCUAAUACCGGAUAGGAACCAUCUUUAGUGAGGGGGGUGGAAAGUGUUUUCGGUGUAGGAUGAGCUCGCGGGCUAUCAGCUUGUUGGUGGGGUAAUGGCCUACCAAGGCGGCGACGGGUAGCCGGCCUGAGAGGGUGUAGGGCCACAUUGGGACUGAGAGACGGCCCAGAGUCGUACGGGGGGCAGCAGUGGGGAAUAUUGCACAAAGGGCGCAAGCCUGAUGCAGCGACGCCGCGUGGGGGAUGAGGGCCUUUGGGUUGUAAACACCUUUCGCUAGGGACGCAGCUUUGUUGUGACGGUACCUGGAUAAGAAGCACCGGCUAACUACGUG
This 466-nucleotide ribosomal RNA is filed under the name uncultured bacterium. RNAcentral describes it as "partial 16S ribosomal RNA". It matches the Rfam family "Bacterial small subunit ribosomal RNA", at positions 28 to 507 of the family's 1533-position model. The record is from RNAcentral.